RNAcentral lists this ribosomal RNA (1496 nucleotides) under uncultured bacterium. RNAcentral's name for it is "SSU rRNA". It matches the Rfam family "Bacterial small subunit ribosomal RNA". The record is from RNAcentral.
AAAGUUUGAUCCUGGAUCACAUUGAACGCUGGCGGCAUGCUUUACACAUGCAAGUCGAACGGGAGCACGGGCUUCGGCCUGGUGGCGAGUGGCGAACGGGUGAGUAAUGCAUCGGAACGUACCCAUUUGUGGGGGAUAACUACCCGAAAGCGUGGAUAAUACCGCAUACGCCCUGAGGGGGAAAGCGGGGGAUUCUUCGGAACCUCGCGCAAAUGGAGCGGCCGAUGUCGGAUUAGCUUGUUGGUGAGGUAAAGGCUCACCAAGGCGACGAUCUGUGGCGGGUCUGAGAGGAUGAUCCGCCACACUGGGACUGAAACACGGCCCAUACUCCUACGGGAGGCAGCAGGGGGGAAUUUUGGACAAUGGGGGCAACCCUGAUCCAGCCAUGCCGCGUGAGUGAAGAAGGCCUUCGGGUUGUAAAGCUCUUUCAGCCGGGAAGAAAGCGCACUCUCUAACAUAGGGUGUGGAUGACGGCACCGGAAGAAGAAGCACCGGCUAACUACGUGCCAGCAGCCGCGGUAAUACGUAGGGNGCGAGCGUUAAUCGGAAUUACUGGGCGUAAAGGGUGCGCAGUGUGUUUUGUAAGACAGAUGUGAUAUCCCCGGGCUUAUGCUGGCAACUGCCUUUGUGACUGCAAUGCUAGAGUACGGUAGAGGGCUGUGGAAUUCCGCGUGUAGCAGUGAAAUGCGUAGAUACACGGAGGAACACCGAUGGCGAACGCAACCCCCUGGGUCCGUACUGACUCUCAUGCACGAAAGCGUGCGGAGCAAACAGGAUUACAUACCCUGGUAGUCCACGCCCUAAACGAUGUCAACUAGUCGUUCGGAGCAGCAAUGCACUGACUGACGCAGCUAACGCGUGAAGUUGACCGCCUGUGGAGUACGCAGUCAAGGUUAAAACUCAAAGGAUUUGACGGGGAUCCGCACAAGCGGUGGAUGAUGUGGAUUAAUUCGAUGCAACGCGAAAAACCUUACCUACCCUUGACAUGUCUGGAACCUUGGUGAGAACCGAGGGUGCCUUCGGGAGCCAGAACACAGGUGCUGCAUGGCUGUUGUCAGCUCGUGUCGUGAGAUGUUGGGUUAAGUCCCGCAACGAGCGCGACCCUUGUCAUUAGUUGCCAUCAUUUAGUUGGGCACUCUAAUGAGACUGCCGGUGACAAACCGGAGGAAGGUGGGGAUGACGUCAAGUCCUCAUGGCCCUUAUGGGUAGGGCUUCACACGUCAUACAAUGGUCGGUACAGGGGGUUGCCAAGCCGCGAGGCGGAGCCAAUCCCAAAAAGCCUAUCGUAGUCCGGAUCGUAGUGUCCAACUGGACUCCGUGAAGUCGGAAUAGGUAGUAAUCGCAGAUCAGCAUGCUGCGGUGAAUACGUUCCCGGGUCUUGUACACACCGCCCGUCACACCAUGGGAGUGGGUUUCACCAGAAGUAGGUAGCUUAACCCUCGGGAGGGCGCUUACCACGGUGAGAUUCAUGACUGGGGCGAAAUCGUACCAAGGUA